This 497-nucleotide small RNA is filed under the name Pan troglodytes (chimpanzee). Its description in RNAcentral is "retained intron". The record is from RNAcentral. Lineage: Eukaryota; Metazoa; Chordata; Mammalia; Primates; Hominidae.
AAAGGCCCCACCUCCAGACACCAUCACAUUGAAGAUUAGGGCUUCAACGUGUAUGUUUGGUGUGGGGGUGGGGGGCAAGAUACAGACGUUUAGUCCAUAGCACUGUAUGUCUUAAAAUUAUUGUUUAAGGCACCGUUCACCUCUGGAAAAGGAUUCUUUACCUGGAAGUUCAUCAACAAGCUUGUUGAUAAAAAAGCAAAGAGAGACUUCAGACACGCCGAUCAUGAGAGCUUUAAAAGAACUUGAUGAGGGAAAAAUAUUUAAAAAUUGGGGGACACAGACAGAGAAAGAGGACACCUCAAAUAUAAAUCCUCGGCAAACUGAAACUUCAGUUAAUGCAAGUCGUUCUCCAGAAAAGUGUGCCCAACAGAGACAAAAGAGACUUAAUUCGGCCUCACAGAGAUCAUCAUCUUUACCACCUUCAAAUCGUAAAUCAAGUACUCCAACAAAAAGAGAGAUUAUGCUAACACCAGUGACUGUGGCUUAUAGUCCAAAGC